ACCUGUCUGGCUCAUUCUGUAGAGCAUGGGACUCGUGAUCUCAAAGUUGUGAGUUUGAGUCCCACAGUGGGCA
Molecule: transfer RNA, 73 nt
Filed under: Mustela putorius furo (domestic ferret)
Lineage: Eukaryota; Metazoa; Chordata; Mammalia; Carnivora; Mustelidae
Rfam family: tRNA
About the family: Transfer RNA (tRNA) molecules are approximately 80 nucleotides in length. Their secondary structure includes four short double-helical elements and three loops (D, anti-codon, and T loops).
Source: Rfam by way of RNAcentral